This 737-nucleotide ribosomal RNA is filed under the name uncultured bacterium. RNAcentral describes it as "bacterial SSU rRNA". It matches the Rfam family "Bacterial small subunit ribosomal RNA", at positions 51 to 768 of the family's 1533-position model. The record is from RNAcentral.
AUACAUGCAGUCGAACGAGAAGUCACUUCGGUGGCGAGUAGAGUGGCGCACGGGUGAGUAACGCGUAGGUGACAUGCCUAGUAGUGGAGGACAACCUCGUGAAAACGGGGCUAAUACUGCAUAUUUUCGCUGACAUUGAAAAAAGCGAGCAAAGAUGGCCUCUCCUUGGAAGCUAUCGCUACUAGAUUGGCCUGCGUGGCAUUAGCUUGUUGGUGGGGUAACGGCCUACCAAGGCGACGAUGUCUAACUGGUCUGAGAGGAUGAUCAGUCACACUGGAACUGAGACACGGUCCAGACUCCUACGGGAGGCAGCAGUAGGGAAUAUUGCACAAUGGAGGAAACUCUGAUGCAGCAAUGCCACGUGAGUGAGGAAUGCCUUCGGGUUGUAAAGCUCUGUCCUAAGGGAAGAACGGCAUAGGUGGUAAUAUCGCUUAUGUUUGACGGUACCUUAGAAGAAAGCACCGGCUAACUCCGUGCCAGCAGCCGCGGUAAUACGGAGGGUGCAAGCGUUGUUCGGAUUUAUUGGGCGUAAAGCGCGCGCAGGCGGAUUGGAGAGUCAGAUGUGAAAUCCCGGGGCUCAACCUCGGAACUGCGUCUGAAACUAUCAGUCUAGAAUCUUGGAGAGGGUUGGGGAAUUUCACGUGUAGGGGUAAAAUCCGUAGAGAUGUGAAGGAACACCAGUGGCGAAGGCGCCGACCUGGACAAGUAUUGACGCUGAGGCGCGAAAGCGUGGGGAG